RNAcentral lists this ribosomal RNA (245 nucleotides) under uncultured Prevotella sp. RNAcentral's name for it is "partial 16S ribosomal RNA". It matches the Rfam family "Bacterial small subunit ribosomal RNA", at positions 524 to 768 of the family's 1533-position model. Lineage: Bacteria; Pseudomonadati; Bacteroidota; Bacteroidia; Bacteroidales; Prevotellaceae. The record is from RNAcentral.
UACGGAAGGUCCGGGCGUUAUCCGGAUUUAUUGGGUUUAAAGGGAGCGCAGGCUGGAUAUUAAGCGUGACGUGAAAUGCCGCGGCUCAACCGUGGAAGUGCGUCGCGAACUGGUUUCCUUGAGUGCGUACGACGCUGGCGGAAUUCGUGGUGUAGCGGUGAAAUGCUUAGAUAUCACGAAGAACCCCGAUUGCGAAGGCAGCCAGCGAGGCCGCAACUGACGCUAAAGCUCGAAGGUGCGGGUAU